Molecule: long non-coding RNA, 477 nt
Organism: Sarcophilus harrisii (Tasmanian devil)
Lineage: Eukaryota; Metazoa; Chordata; Mammalia; Dasyuromorphia; Dasyuridae
Exons: 4
Source: RefSeq, a predicted model, not a curated record
AAGAAAGCUCCUUCUAAGAAUACUGAUCAAAGGUUCUUGGAGCCUCUGACUGAGUGCUGAAGAAAAAUUUAUAACAAUUGGUCUUAAAUACCAGCUAAAGAGACCUAUAAGUAUCUUUGUUAAGAAGAUGAGUAUUAAUCACAAAACUUCAAGAAGAUUAGAGGACUAAAUUUCAGCAACAGAUGGAGAACUAAAAAUGAAUAUCACACAGAGGGCAACAAAGAUGCUCAUGGCAAUUGUGAGUAGGAAGCAGCAUAUGCCCAGUAAGGAACUUCAAGGAAGAACAGGAAUAAUAGAGAACCAGACUCUUUGACUGAGGAGGAAGAAAGGAGAGUGUUUUGCAAUUCAUGGAACAAGGAGGAAUGUGAAAAAAUUGUCACAUACUAAAGCAACAAAUGGAAAACCUGGAAAUUAUAACACAUGGGAAAGUUGUCUCUUUGUUAAUGGAAAUUAACUGGCUUUCAAACAAGAGUCCAU